GUGAGUCAUCGAAUCUUUGAACGCAUAUUGCACCCCUUGGUAGUCCGGGGGGUAUACCUGUUCGAGCGCCAUUUAAACCCUCAAGCAUAGCUUGGUGUUGGGUAAAUAAGGUCUUUGUAAGACCUACCCGUAACUUGUAGGCGGUCAUCUUACUGUACCUUCAGCGUAGCAAGCUUAAUGCAUUCGCUCAAGGAAGGGUAUGUUUUGAUCAGUCAAAAAAAACCUACUUUUUUCAAGGUUUGGCCUCGGAUCAGGUGGGGAUACCCGCUGAACUUAAGCAUAUCAAUAAGCGGAGGA
Molecule: unclassified non-coding RNA, 297 nt
Filed under: Pseudorobillarda sp.
Lineage: Eukaryota; Fungi; Ascomycota; Dothideomycetes; Pleosporales
Description: partial contains 5.8S ribosomal RNA, internal transcribed spacer 2, and large subunit ribosomal RNA
Rfam family: 5.8S ribosomal RNA (bases 1-71)
Source: RNAcentral